RNAcentral lists this non-coding RNA (89 nucleotides) under uncultured Dysosmobacter sp. Its description in RNAcentral is "TPP riboswitch (THI element)". It matches the Rfam family "TPP riboswitch aptamer (THI element)", at positions 11 to 88 of the family's 105-position model. From Rfam's summary of the family: Vitamin B(1) in its active form thiamin pyrophosphate (TPP) is an essential coenzyme that is synthesised by coupling of pyrimidine and thiazole moieties in bacteria. The previously detected thiamin-regulatory element, thi box was extended, resulting in a new, highly conserved RNA secondary structure, the THI element, which is widely distributed in eubacteria and also occurs in some archaea. Lineage: Bacteria; Bacillati; Bacillota; Clostridia; Eubacteriales; Oscillospiraceae. The record is from RNAcentral.
CAACGGGGGGCCCAUGAAAUGGGCUGAGAUACGGAUGUGGUUCCGUGACCCAUGACACCUGAUCUGGAUCAUGCCAGCGUAGGGAACAU